This 486-nucleotide ribosomal RNA is filed under the name Megapulvinaria maxima. Its description in RNAcentral is "SSU rRNA". It matches the Rfam family "Eukaryotic small subunit ribosomal RNA", at positions 51 to 446 of the family's 1831-position model. Lineage: Eukaryota; Metazoa; Arthropoda; Insecta; Hemiptera; Coccidae. The record is from RNAcentral.
AUGCAUGUCUAAGUGCAAGCCGUCUCGUUACGGUGAAACCGCGAAAGGCUCAUUAAAUCAGUUAUGGUUCCUUAGAUCGUACCCACGUUACAUGGAUAACUGUGGUAAUUCUAGAGCUAAUACAUGCCCAUAGAGCUCCGACCAGCGUUUUCCAGUCGUUCGGCGGUUCGCCCGUCGUCGCUGGACGUUCGGAAGGAGCGCUUUUAUUAGAUCAAAACCGGCCAAGCGCGUCGUUCGCGCUUCGCGCGCGUUCGCGCGUAAGUGGCCCGCGCAAAGACUUGACGACUCUGAAUAACUUCGAGCUGAUCGCACGGUCCUUUGUACCGGCGACGUAUCUUUCAAAUGUCUGCCUUAUCAACUGUCGACGGUAGGUUCUACGCCUACCGUGGUGGUAACGGGUAACGGGGAAUCAGGGUUCGAUUCCGGAGAGGGAGCCUGAGAAACGGCUACCACAUCCAAGGAAGGCAGCAGGCGCGCAAAUUAUCC